UCUGCGGCUGUUACUGCUGCUGCUGCAUGGCCUGCACUGCUUCGGUGAGGCCUCUAACCUGCUGGGCCAGCAGGUCGAACUGUUCUAUGCCGACCACCGUUGUCGGAGGAGGAGGAGGAGCCUGAAAAAUUAGAGGCGAGGUCGGAGCCUGAGAUCUGGCCGCGGAGACUGUGGAUCGCCUGGUGGAUGCCUUUCGGGGAGACAUCGGGUGGAGAUCUAGUAGGGGA
Molecule: long non-coding RNA, 227 nt
Filed under: Elaeis guineensis (African oil palm)
Lineage: Eukaryota; Viridiplantae; Streptophyta; Magnoliopsida; Arecales; Arecaceae
Description: long non-coding RNA (EGUI_LNC049884)
Source: RNAcentral